This 253-nucleotide ribosomal RNA is filed under the name uncultured bacterium. RNAcentral describes it as "partial 16S ribosomal RNA". It matches the Rfam family "Bacterial small subunit ribosomal RNA", at positions 524 to 776 of the family's 1533-position model. The record is from RNAcentral.
UACGAAGGGGGCUAGCGUUGCUCGGAAUCACUGGGCGUAAAGCGCACGUAGGCGGAUCUUUAAGUCAGGGGUGAAAUCCUGGAGCUCAACUCCAGAACUGCCUUUGAUACUGGGGAUCUCGAGUCCGGGAGAGGUGAGUGGAACUCCGAGUGUAGAGGUGAAAUUCGUAGAUAUUCGGAAGAACACCAGUGGCGAAGGCGGCUACCUGGACCGGUUCUGACGCUGAGGCGCGAAAGCGUGGGUAGCAAACAGG